GCAGUUAACACCAAGUCUGAUCCACCUUUAUGUGGGGUCAGCCUGUUAACACCAGGUCUGAUCCACCUUGAUAUGGGGUCAGGCGGUUAACACCAGGUCUGAUCCACCUUGAUGUGGGCUCAUCCGGUUAACACCAGGUUUGAUGUUUGACUAACAGUGAUAUGGGUAAGAGUUUGUAACUUGUUCAAGAUGCUGGUGAUAACUUGUCUACCAUCAGACCAAGCCCCACACCAUAACCGAUCCUGUAAUUUCAACUGCCAAACAAAUUUCAGAGUUUGUCAUUCAUAUUGUACAAUGAAAAUGAGGGCUUGAUAUGGGGCUAUGUUGUUGUGCAGCCAUGUUGGUUUUCUGCCUACCUCUGUGGCUUUUGACGCCAGUGAAGAAAGCACCACCAUCAAGCUUCAUGAAUAUUGCACCUGGUUCUGUGUUCACCUACAGCCAAGAGGCAGGAGAGGAAGAAAGUAAGAUCCUGAUUCCAGAUUCCCCACAAAAUGAAGUUCAUGGCAACCAAGUAUCUGAGCUCCAACCAAGAGCUGUGGGCAUGAGGUCUGAUGCAAUGACAAAGGUUGAGAUUGAUGGCCAGAGGGCCGGACAUGGCGUCCAAGGUUUAGGGGCAAGAGCAGAACAAAGAGACAACAGCCUUACAACUUCAUGGAUGCGAGAGUCAGGCGAGGAUGUUGUUGGACUAGAUCCUAUAAGUAUGCUGAGUCAGCAAUUGUUAUCGUCACAAAGCAAGAACAAAGACCAUACUCCACAACGAAGUGGAAACAAGGUUCAGGAACACCCCAUUGAGAUCCUGGAUUCCCCACAAAAUGAAGUUCAUGGCAACCAAGUAUUUGAGCUCCAACCAAGAGCUGUGGGCAUGAGGUCUGACGCAAUGACAAAGGUUGAGAUUGAUGGCCACAGGACCGGACAUGGCAUCCAAGGUUUAGGGGCAAGAGCAGAACAAAGAGACAACAGCCUUACAACUUCACGGAUGCAAGAGUCAGGUGAAGAUGUUGUUGGACCAGAUCCUAUAAGUAUGCUGAGUCAGCAGUUGUUGUCGUCACGAAGCAAAAACAAAGACCAUACUCUACAAGGAAGUGGAAACAAGGUUCAGGAACACCCCAUUGAGUUGCAGGUGAAAACGCUUGAGACUUGUGCUCCUGAUACUCUCCUGGUGUACAAUUUUGAAGGAUUUUCAUCAUGUGCUUCGUCUCUCUCUGCCAUCUCAGAAAUCUAACGGCCACUGGAGUUUUCAGAUGUUUCCAGAGCUGGAAAUUUAUUCCGGUUAUUUCUGAGGCUGGACUUUGUUUUCACAUGUAUGUCAAGGUUCACAGACAUGUUAAAAAUGAAUGAUGUCUGGGAAUGGCAGUUAAUUAAAACAAUGUUGGGAAUGAGUUUACAAUGUCCUCUCCCAUCGAUUAGAGAAAGGUGAAUAAAUAGCGUUUGGAUUAAAUAUAUAUUCGUUGCAUCGAUGUUAUAAUUUACAAAUAAAGAAACGAGCACCUGUCAGUUGUGUGAUAUAUUUUCAGAACAGUGCGAAUGUCACAACAUUAAAAGCUUCAGUAAAAAUUAAUUUGUGUUUUAAUUUCUACUGAAACAACCGAAUUAUUCGUGAUAUUUUUUAUCCAAAGGUUAUUUACUUGCUGGAAGGUAAACGUGCAAAAAACAGGUCAAAUAGGCCGAAAAAUAGGGGUGUCUUAGGAUGUUAGGUCAACAUUGGGUAAGUUUGAACGCUGAUUUUCUUGAAUCCUGAUUUAGCGCGACCCCGCUUUUAAAUCAGCAUCUCCACAUGUCUGGCAGCCAUUCCAUUCCAGUGUCUGUUGAAUUCCAACACAGGCACACCUCGUUCAACUUAGUGAGGUACUGAUUAGGUGAUCACCUGAACCGAAUCUUAUUUAACAAGGAAAAGUAUAAAAACCACUGCUGUGCCCCCCCCCCCCC
Molecule: long non-coding RNA, 1926 nt
Organism: Eptatretus burgeri (inshore hagfish)
Lineage: Eukaryota; Metazoa; Chordata; Myxini; Myxiniformes; Myxinidae
Source: Ensembl